RNAcentral lists this ribosomal RNA (393 nucleotides) under uncultured bacterium. Its description in RNAcentral is "bacterial SSU rRNA". It matches the Rfam family "Bacterial small subunit ribosomal RNA", at positions 8 to 403 of the family's 1533-position model. The record is from RNAcentral.
AGAGUUUGAUCCUGGCUCAGAUUGAACGCUGGCGGCAUGCCUUACACAUGCAAGUCGAACGGCAGCACGGGAGCAAUCCUGGUGGCGAGUGGCGAACGGGUGAGUAAUAUAUCGGAACGUGCCCAGUCGUGGGGGAUAACGCAGCGAAAGCUGUGCUAAUACCGCAUACGAUCUAUGGAUGAAAGCGGGGGAUCGCAAGACCUCGCGCGAUUGGAGCGGCCGAUAUCAGAUUAGCUAGUUGGUGGGGUAAAGGCCCACCAAGGCGACGAUCUGUAGCUGGUCUGAGAGGACGACCAGCCACACUGGAACUGAGACACGGUCCAGACUCCUACGGGAGGCAGCAGUGGGGAAUUUUGGACAAUGGGCGCAAGCCUGAUCCAGCAAUGCCGCGUG